Molecule: small RNA, 574 nt
Filed under: Pongo abelii (Sumatran orangutan)
Lineage: Eukaryota; Metazoa; Chordata; Mammalia; Primates; Hominidae
Description: processed transcript
Source: RNAcentral
UACGCUCGGGGAUUCACUCGGGCCUUCCUGAACCUCCUAAAAAGUGGGACAAACCAGUACCCACCUCCAGAGCUCACUGAAGAAUGUGGGGGCCUACACCGUGGGGACACUGUGCUGCAAUUAGUCACACCUGUCAACAGGUUGCCCAGGCACCAGUUUGGUAUGUCUGGCUUGGCUGAUGAUUUGGAAGCACUUGAAGCAACAGGCGUUUUUCUAGAAGAGAAGAGAAAAGACAUCACAACAUCUAUAACUCAGCAAGAAGCACUUGAAAAUUAUGAAAAUAACAAAUAUGACAUUGAAGAAAAUGAACAAGAAACACCAGCAAAACAAAAAGGAACUAGAAAAGAAAUAAAUGCAGACACUACCUUUGGUAAAAACCAAACUACUUCUUGGUCCUUAAGUUGGAUUCACUUUUUUCAUUUUUAACUUUUUCUUAAAAAAAAUCCUGUGCACUGUGCUAGCAUGCAAUUUUUUUUUAAAUUCACUUUGCUUACAAAUCCACAGGUUCAUGUAUGCAGCUAAAGAAAAUAGUUUAAAAAGAAAGACAGACAAAGGCUAACUUUCACCUGGCUGU